AAUUUGAGGUGCUACACCUGCAAGAUUCUCAGAUAAGACAAGACUUUAAUGUAUUCGCCACCUAGAGUGGCGAGUUCAUGUCUUAUCCUGACCUACUGAUGCAUGCAGUAGACGUGUCUUAUGUGAAGACAUGCAUGCAGCUCCACCUAGCCUGCAAGAUUCCCAACCAACUUUGCAUGCGUUACUUCUUCCCAGAUUUUUGCAUGCGUUACACGUGUCCAAUUUUUU
RNAcentral lists this long non-coding RNA (228 nucleotides) under Lathyrus oleraceus (garden pea). RNAcentral describes it as "Pisum sativum (pea) long non-coding RNA (PSAT_LNC004885)". The record is from RNAcentral. Lineage: Eukaryota; Viridiplantae; Streptophyta; Magnoliopsida; Fabales; Fabaceae.